AUGUCUACGUGUUUACUGCGGCCGCCCUCCGCUCUCUACGCACUCGUUGGCUCACAUGUUUUAAUUAAUAACUCGAACGAGCUCAAUACGAUGACGACGACGACCACCACAACGGUCACGACGCCCGCCACAGCCACGACGGCUACGAUGGCGGUGUCUGAAAAAAUUACCGGGGCGACAUCGACGACGGCAGCGAUGGCCACGAUGGCGACCGAGCCAAUAACGUUAACAUAAUAGCUGUUUUAGGAAGAGCAAGAGGAAGAGGAAGAGGAAGAGGAACAGGGAAAGAAAGAGGUG
RNAcentral lists this unclassified non-coding RNA (297 nucleotides) under Harpegnathos saltator (Jerdon's jumping ant). RNAcentral's name for it is "probable transcription-associated protein 1, transcript variant X2". Lineage: Eukaryota; Metazoa; Arthropoda; Insecta; Hymenoptera; Formicidae. The record is from RNAcentral.